UGCAUUAAUUUCAAGUAUAAGUCUCUAUAAAUUUCAAUUUUUUCUCUCUUGAUGUACUUUUUGUCUCACACAUGUUGGUUCUUUAUCAUGUAUUUUUGCAGGUACUUGCGGGGAAAGCAUCUAUGAUGAAUAUUUCCCACAUGAGGCUCCUGUGCUUAAACAUGAUCAACGAGGACUUCUAACUAUGAACAUUGCUGAUCGUUAUGGAAUUGGCUCACAUUUUACAAUCACAUUGAAUGGAGAUUCAAGUCUAGACAAGUUUCACGUGGUUUUUGGGAAGAUUAUUAAGGGAAUGAAAACAUUGGAUGAGAUUACAAAGGCACGUGGGUUACUAGUUCAAGUCUCAGAUUGUGGUCAACUUGAUCCAGACUUUGAACUUAAUCUAGACUUUGAUGACAUCUAGACUGUGAAUAUAAUCUGACCAAACUAGAUUAGGUAAGAGCUUCAAGGAGGGACAUUAAGGAAGGCUAGGAGGAAAUGAGGCUACAUUAAUGAGUUGUGUGACAUGUCCACUAUUUACAUUUGUGUUAAAUCCAAGAUAUUACGUUCUUUAGGACAUUUU
This is a long non-coding RNA of Neltuma alba, 562 nucleotides long. RefSeq lists it as uncharacterized. The transcript has 4 exons. The record is from RefSeq and is a predicted model, not a curated record. NCBI's taxonomy places the organism in Eukaryota, Viridiplantae, Streptophyta, Magnoliopsida, Fabales, Fabaceae.